RNAcentral lists this ribosomal RNA (377 nucleotides) under uncultured bacterium. Its description in RNAcentral is "bacterial SSU rRNA". It matches the Rfam family "Bacterial small subunit ribosomal RNA", at positions 523 to 898 of the family's 1533-position model. The record is from RNAcentral.
CUACGUAGGUGGCGAGCGUUGUCCGGAAUUACUGGGUGUAAAGGGCGUGUAGGCGGGGAUGCAAGUCAGAUGUGAAGUACUAAGGCUUAACCUUGGGGCUGCAUCUGAAACUGUGUUUCUUGAGUGUCGGAGAGGAAAGCGGAAUUCCCAGUGUAGCGGUGAAAUGCGUAGAGAUUGGGAGGAACACCAGUGGCGAAGGCGGCUUUCUGGACGACAACUGACGCUGAGGCGCGAAAGCGUGGGGAGCAAACAGGAUUAGAUACCCUGGUAGUCCACGCCGUAAACGAUGGAUACUAGGUGUAGGAGGUAUCGACCCCUUCUGUGCCGGAGUUAACACAAUAAGUACCCCGCCUGGGGAGUACGGUCGCAAGACUGAA